RNAcentral lists this ribosomal RNA (253 nucleotides) under uncultured bacterium. Its description in RNAcentral is "partial 16S ribosomal RNA". It matches the Rfam family "Bacterial small subunit ribosomal RNA", at positions 524 to 776 of the family's 1533-position model. The record is from RNAcentral.
UACGAAGGGGGCUAGCGUUGCUCGGAAUCACUGGGCGUAAAGCGCACGUAGGCGGGUUGUUAAGUCGGGGGUGAAAUCCUGGAGCUCAACUCCAGAACUGCCUUUGAUACUGGCGACCUUGAGUCCGGGAGAGGUGAGUGGAACUGCGAGUGUAGAGGUGAAAUUCGUAGAUAUUCGCAAGAACACCAGUGGCGAAGGCGGCUCACUGGCCCGGUACUGACGCUGAGGUGCGAAAGCGUGGGGAGCGAACAGG